RNAcentral lists this ribosomal RNA (460 nucleotides) under uncultured bacterium. Its description in RNAcentral is "partial 16S ribosomal RNA". It matches the Rfam family "Bacterial small subunit ribosomal RNA", at positions 338 to 795 of the family's 1533-position model. The record is from RNAcentral.
CCUACGGGAGGCAGCAGUGAGGAAUAUUGGUCAAUGGUCGGGAGACUGAACCAGCCAAGCCGCGUGAGGGAGGAAGGUACAGAGUAUCGUAAACCUCUUUUGUCAGGGAACAAAGACUGGGACGCGUCCCCGGAUGAGUGUACCUGAAGAAAAAGCAUCGGCUAACUCCGUGCCAGCAGCCGCGGUAAUACGGAGGAUGCGAGCGUUAUCCGGAUUUAUUGGGUUUAAAGGGUGCGGAGGUGGUCUGUUAAGUCAGCGGUGAAAGGCCGGGGCUCAACCCCGGGCCCGCGGUUGAACUUGGCAGUCUUGAGUUGGAGAGAGGUAUGCGGAAUGCGCGGUGUAGCGGUGAAAUGCAUAGAUAUCGCGCAGAACUCCGAUUGCGAAGGCAGCAGGCCGGCUCCACACUGACGCUGAGGCACGAAAGCGUGGGUAUCGAACAGGAUUAGAUACCCCAGUAGUC